Cyprinus carpio (common carp) is the source of this 1322-nucleotide long non-coding RNA. RefSeq lists it as uncharacterized. The record is from RefSeq and is a predicted model, not a curated record. NCBI's taxonomy places the organism in Eukaryota, Metazoa, Chordata, Actinopteri, Cypriniformes, Cyprinidae. The transcript has 2 exons.
ACACUAUAGUAUUUAUGGUAGUCCUGUUUGGUAGGGUGAGUACGGUAGUUUCUAGCCUACGUGUCCUUUAUGAAUGGGAUGGCAUUAGCUUUGGAGUAAUGGCAGGUGCAUGCUGAUUGCCAGAUGAGUGGUGGUGAUUUCUUGCUUGGAGACUGCAGUGAUGGUUUGUGCCAGCUUGGGAAAACAGUUGUCGUAGCGGUUGUUAGGUAUGUGACAAUGUUGGAUGUAAUACUUUUUAAAAGUGUGAUAUUGUGUAUAAUCAUGUGCAUUUAAAUGUUUUGUGCAGAUGGCAAUGAUGGUUUGUGCCAGAGUUGGAAAACUCUUGUCUAGCUGGUACUAGGAGCUGGCCUGUGUCACUGUUUUGAAUUACUGUUUUGGUCUGGUGUAAAGUAUUGCACAUUUACACGUGAGAUAUUGGGGGUUGUUGAACCCUUAUGGUAUCAACUUGCUACCAGCUAAGCCUAUUUGUGUUUUAGAACUUUUGAUGAGUUGUUAAUAAAUUUCGGUUACCUGGAUGAUUAAGUGGAGAAAUUUAUUGCUUGACAUUGAUAGGCUUUACAGUUUGGCGUCACGAACAGGAUCUUUUAUUUGGUAGCAAGUUGAUGUAGAGUAAGGUGAGGUUUCAAAACAGUGACAUAGGCUGAAGAGUCGAGGAGUGUGGAACAAGAGACUUUAGUGAAACUGCUUUGGAUAUAAAGACUGUUGUUGUAUGACUAACUACCAAACGAUGGAGCAAGAGCUUGCUGCGUUGCGGGAAAGACUGGAUAAGGAAAAAGCAGCGAUGGAUGAACUUAAACAACAGAAUGAAGCAUUGACUGCCCAGUUACAACAAGUAACAACAACAGAUCCUAUGGAAACUUCACAUUCCCCUUCCGAUGUAGGCCAGGCUUAUUCAGCAGCCUCACCGGCCUCCACAAGUAAAGUUACGACAUCUGUUGAAGUGAUUUAUAUGCCUAAAGAUAAAAAGAUGGUAAUAUUUUCUGGUGAUCCAGGUACUAUCUCCUAUUAUGAUUGGAUUGACGAAGUGCAGAACUCUAUGAAUUAUCGACAAUAUAGAGAAAGAGAACAGGCAGCAUUUCUGUAUGAUCAUUUGGAGGGGGGAGCUAAACAGGAGAUAAGAUAUAGCACACCUGAGGUACGCAGGAGCCCUACAUUGAUUCUAGAGGUUUUAAAGGAGGCGUAUGGCCUUACUAUCCCUAUUCUCUGACUGCUUCUCAAAAGCGUUUUUUUGACAGAAAACAGAAGGCAGGUGAGGGGUUGCGGGAAUUUUCUCAUUCACUGUUAUCUUUGGCAGGGGAUAUAAAUCGUUGUAAUGGAGGAGU